GUGUACUAGCCUAUUAAUUGUGGUGGUCCCAUAUCUUUUUGCUCACUCCAUCUCCUCCCGCCAGUUCUUCUCUCCCUCUUUCUUUCUCAUUCUCUCUCAAAAUCAUACUCAAUCUCUUUUCUCGGAGACGAACAAUGGUUGUUGCACAGAAACUCAAGGAAGCGGAGAUCACCGAGCUUGAUUCGCUUCUCUUAACAAGAAACCUGCUACGCAUUGCCAUAUUCAAUAUUAGCUAUAUAAGAGGACUUUUUCCUGAGAACUAUUUCAAUGACAAAUCGGUUCCAGCUCUAGAGAUGAAGAUUAAGAAGCUUAUGCCAAUGGAUGCAGAGUCGAGAAGACUGAUUGAUUGGAUGGAGAAAGGUGUCUAUGAUGCACUGCAGAAGAAAUACCUGAAAACGCUUCUGUUCUGUGUGUGUGAAACAAUAGAUGGUCCGAUGAUUGAGGAAUAUGCCUUUUCUUUCAGUUAUUCAAACUCUGAAAGUCAAGAGGUCUCGAUGAACGUAAAUCGCAUUGGGAAUAAAAAGCAAGGGGGAACAUUCAAGUGCAACUCGAGUACAGAAAUUACUCCAAAUCAGAUGAGGAGUUCUGCUUGCAAAAUGGUCCGUACAUUGAUUCAGUUAAUGAGAACUCUGGAUAAAAUGCCAGAAGAGCGGACUAUAUUGAUGAAACUCCUGUAUUAUGAUGAUGUUACGCCUGUGGACUAUGAGCCACCAUUCUUCAGAGGGUGCACAGAAGAAGAAGAAGUUAAUAAUCCAUGGACCAAGAAUCCUCUGAAAAUGGAGGUUGGCAAUGUCAACAGUAAACAUUUAGUAUUAGCUCUCAAGGUUAAAAGUGUACUUGAUCCUUGUGAGGAUGAGAAUGAUGAUAUGCAAAAUGAUGAUGUCAGCUUGGGGGGUGAUUCUGUCAAAGGAGAUGCAAGUGACUCUGAAACUGAGACCAUGGAUGAAGACCAGUAUGUGGUUGCACCAGUAGACAAAGAAAGGCUUCAGAGAAAUCAAACAGCAACUGAUGAUGAUGAUACUCAGGAUCCAAUAGAAGAUGAAGAGCAAUAUCGUCGAGUAAAGGAAUGGAUUAGUUCUUACCACCUUGGCACUGUCGAGCUUACUGAUGUUCUCUCAAAUUUCUCGGAUAUAUCAGUGGUGCUUAUUGAAGAAGUUAUGGACAAACUGGUGAAGGAGGACAUCUUAACUAAAAGCGGAACAAAUGCUUACAUUAUUAAUAAGCUGAAGAAAUCUGACUAUGAAUUUGAAGCUGUGAAAGAAGAAAAUGAUGGCCAGAUAUUUCGUAAUGGCAGUAAAGUUCAGCCAAACAUGGAUGAGGAUCAUAUGUACAUGAAGGCACUUUACCAUGCUCUUCCAAUGGACUACAUUACUGUUUCCAAGCUUCACAACAAGCUCGAAGGAGAAGUCAACCAGACCACAGUGCGUAAGCUAAUUGAUAAGAUGACAAAAGAAGGGUUUGUUGAAGCUCAAAGCAAUAGGAGACUUGGCAAGCGUGUGAUCCAUUCCAAUUUAACUGAGAAAAAAUUGCAUGAAGUCAAGAAAAACUUGAACCUUAAUGAGAUGGAGCUGGAUGAGCCCCAAAGGAAGCUGAACCACUCAGAACCUAAUACAAUUGGAAGCAAACAAAGGGACUUGUCCACUUGUGGCGGAGUUCGCUCCAUUGGAUCAGAUCUAACUCGCAUGAUAGGCAAAUCUGAUGCUUAUCAGAACGGAUCCAUCAGGAGUGACCAUACUGUUGUAAAGAUGAAAGAGCAUGGAACCCCUACAAGCAGAGCUCAGGUUUGUCUGGUCAACAACUGCCUUACAUUUACCAACCAGCAGCUUCUAGAGAGAGUUUUGCACAAGUAAUGGAAAUUGGCAGAAACAAUGGAAACCAUGACAAUUGCAGUGAGUUUGAUGCAAUCAUGUGCAGCAAGUCUUCAUCUCAGAGCAAGCGGUCCAGAAAAGCAAGCGCUGUUAAGGAUCCUAUCCUUCAGUACACUAAGCGCCAGAAGGCUCAAGUCGCCUGAAAAGAAUCAGACUCAAUGGCCUGAUAAUUUCCAGAGUUUCUUUCCAUUUAUUCCUAUUUCAUCAGACAGCACUUGAAUCAGCUUUCUUCCUUUCUUUGUUGAACCUGGUGAUUCUUAACUGGAUAUGUAAUAGAUAUGAUUAUUAUGCUUAUUAUGUUAACAUUUCAGACUUGUGAUAACACUCCCCAUAUUUUGUUUGGAGUCCAAGUACGAUGAUAAAUGGCAACCAAAGGAGACCUGUUUUGUUCGUUUA
Daucus carota subsp. sativus is the source of this 2264-nucleotide RNA transcript. It is a transcript of the gene named meiosis-specific protein ASY1, with no coding region annotated. The transcript has 22 exons. The record is from RefSeq and is a predicted model, not a curated record. NCBI's taxonomy places the organism in Eukaryota, Viridiplantae, Streptophyta, Magnoliopsida, Apiales, Apiaceae.